GAGCACGCCGCGUGAGUGAUGAAGGUUUUCGGAUCGUAAAACUCUGUUGUUAGGGAAGAACAAGUACCGUUCGAAUAGGGCGGUACCUUGACGGUACCUAACCAGAAAGCCACGGCUAACUACGUGCCAGCAGCCGCGGUAAUACGUAGGUGGCAAGCGUUGUCCGGAAUUAUUGGGCGUAAAGCGCGCGCAGGCGGUUUCUUAAGUCUGAUGUGAAAGCCCCCGGCUCAACCGGGGAGGGUCAUUGGAAACUGGGGAACUUGAGUGCAGAAGAGGAGAGUGGAAUUCCACGUGUAGCGGUGAAAUGCGUAGAGAUGUGGAGGAACACCAGUGGCGAAGGCGACUCUCUGGUCUGUAACUGACGCUGAGGCGCGAAAGCGUGGGGAGCGAACAGGAUUAGAUACCCUGGUAGUCCACGCCGUAAACGAUGAGUGCUAAGUGUUAGAGGGUUUCCGCCCUUUAGUGCUGCAGCAAACGCAUUAAGCACUCCGCCUGGGGAGUACGGUCGCAAGACUGAAACUCAAAGGAAUUGACGGGGGCCCGCACAAGCGGUGGAGCAUGUGGUUUAAUUCGAAGCAACGCGAAGAACCUUACCAGGUCUUGACAUCCUCUGACAACCCUAGAGAUAGGGCUUCCCCUUCGGGGGCAGA
RNAcentral lists this ribosomal RNA (650 nucleotides) under Bacillus licheniformis. Its description in RNAcentral is "bacterial SSU rRNA". It matches the Rfam family "Bacterial small subunit ribosomal RNA", at positions 389 to 1030 of the family's 1533-position model. The record is from RNAcentral. Lineage: Bacteria; Bacillati; Bacillota; Bacilli; Caryophanales; Bacillaceae.